RNAcentral lists this small RNA (80 nucleotides) under Flavobacterium resistens. Its description in RNAcentral is "Flavo-1 RNA". It matches the Rfam family "Flavo-1 RNA". Lineage: Bacteria; Pseudomonadati; Bacteroidota; Flavobacteriia; Flavobacteriales; Flavobacteriaceae. The record is from RNAcentral.
CCCUAGCCCCGAUAGCAGCGGAAAUCCUUUUGCUUUUUUCUUUAAAAAGCAAAAGAUUGGAGCGGAUAGCGGGGAAUAGC